CCUACGGGGGGCAGCAGUAGGGAAUAUUGCUCAAUGGGGGAAACGCUGAAGCAGCAACGCCGCGUGGAGGAUGACUGUUUUCGGAUUGGAAACUCCUUUUGUUAGAGAAGAUAUUGAUGGUACCUAACGAAUAAGCACCGGCCAACUUCGUGCCAGGAGCCGGGGUAAAACGGGGGGUGCAAGGGUUAUUCGGAAUCACUGGGCGUAAAGAGCGCGUAGGUGGGAUAGCAAGUCAGAUGUGAAAUCCUAUGGGUUAACCAUAGAAUUGCAUUUGAAACUGUUAUUCUAGAGUAUGGGAGAGGUAGGUGGAAUACUUGAAGUAGGGGUGAAAUCCUUAGAGAUAAAGUAGAAUACUCAUUGCGAAGGCAGCCUACUAGAACGUAACUGACGCUGAUGCGCGAGAGCGUGGGGAGCGAACAGGAUUAGAUACCCGUGUAGUC
Molecule: ribosomal RNA, 440 nt
Filed under: uncultured bacterium
Lineage: Bacteria
Description: partial 16S ribosomal RNA
Rfam family: Bacterial small subunit ribosomal RNA
Source: RNAcentral